This 582-nucleotide long non-coding RNA is filed under the name Capsella rubella. RNAcentral's name for it is "long non-coding RNA (CRUB_LNC000694)". Lineage: Eukaryota; Viridiplantae; Streptophyta; Magnoliopsida; Brassicales; Brassicaceae. The record is from RNAcentral.
GGGGUUGCUCGAGACGGGUCAUGCGAUAUCCAAACAUUUGGAGGGUGGUUUGGAUAGCAGCUAUUGUGGCUGCAAUAGGAUCCAAGGGAGCUUCGGUGUUGUUCUCCAUCUGCGGAUGCAAAAGAAGUGACAAAAACAGCAAGUAUCAACGAACGGAUAACAAUUGAAAUCGAACAAGAACAAACUGAAAAUCGACAAUUUUUUUUUUUUUUUGAACUUAACUAACGAUUAACUCAAACAACUACAAGAUUACUACUAACUAUUUUUUUUUUUGACUUAGAAUAAACGAAACAAUAGCUUAGAGGAAUGGAGAUGGAGUGAUACAACCUAGGGUGUAGAACCUUUCGGCUAUGAUACCAGAUGAUAUACGCUCCAAGGGUCACACGUACGCACGAACUAGGGUCGAUCGAGUUGGCCUUCGCUCUCUCUCGAUAAAACCGCAAACAAGACGAAACUCAAUGGAACAAGAUAGCUUAGGGGAAGCAAGGGGUUUCGAUCAACCAAGUAACAAGCUCACACGGAUUGAUUCAAGGGGAAACCACUCAAGAAUACUCGUGUAAGAACUCUCAACUCGCAAACGGC